Molecule: ribosomal RNA, 445 nt
Filed under: uncultured bacterium
Lineage: Bacteria
Description: partial 16S ribosomal RNA
Rfam family: Bacterial small subunit ribosomal RNA
Source: RNAcentral
GUAGGGAAUAUUGGGCAAUGGAUGCAAGUCUGACCCAGCCAUCCCGCGUGCCGGAAGAAGGCCCUCAGGGUUGUAAACGGCUUUUGACGGUGAAGAAUCGACAGGAUGCGUCCUGUUUUGACGGUAGCCGUUGAAUAAGCACCGGCUAACUCCGUUCCAGCAGCCGCGGUAAUACGGAGGGUGCGAGCGUUGUCCGGAUUUAUUGGGUUUAAAGGGUGCGUAGGAUGGAAGGUCAGUCAGCGGUGAAAAGCUGUCGCUUAACGAUAGUCUUGCCGCAGAUACUUCCUUUCUUGGAUGAGGAGGAGGCCACUGGAACGGAUGGUGUAGCGGUGAAAUGCAUAGAUAUCAUCCAGAACACCGAGUGCGAAGGCAGGUGGCUGUACCUUAAUCGACGCUGAUGCACGAAAGCAUGGGGAGCAAACAGGAUUAGAAACCCCAGUAGUCC